CCACUGCCGGGGUACCAUGGGACUAUCUCCAGUCCUGAAGAGGCUCCUCUCAGUCACACGGCAGCUCUGGACAAGACUUGUGCAAAGAAAGAUGAUCUCGCUAUGCUGCCUAGGCUGGCCUUGAACUCCUGGGCUCAAGCAAUCCUGCUACACUAUGAGGAGUUGCAAAUACAGGGGGCGUGUAAUCACUCUGUGACUGGUGGCUGCAGGCUCUCCUAAUGGAUAUUUCCUAUUUACAGGGCUACCAACUGCCAAGCAUCCAAGCAGUCCCUAGGCAGCAAUCCAGCAGCUGACAGGGUUACCGGCGUCAACUGCCACAGAUGCUAGGCUGGUUUGCCAUAUUUACAUGGAUUUGAUCAGCAAUGAGCACAAAAGAUAGAGAUUGUUUCUUUCUUUCUUUUUUUUGAGGUGGAGUUUUACUCUUGUUGCCCACGCUGGAGCGCAAUGGUGAGAUCUUGGCUCACUGCAACCUCCACCUCCCAGGUACAAGUGAUUCUCCUGUCUCAGCUUCACAAGUAGCUCGGAUUACAGGCAUGCAGGACCAUGUCCAGCUAAUUUUUUUGUAUUUCGUAGAGACGGGGUUUCACCAUAUUAGUCAGGCUGGUGGCAAACUCCUGACCUCAAGUGAUCCACCUGCGUCGGCCUCCCAAAGUGCUAGGAUUACAGGUGUGUGCCACUGUGCCCAGCCUAGAUUGUUUAUUUCUUACUCAAACAGCUACAGCAUGAUCAGCAGCCUGUGUCCCUAGACACACAAGAUGACAGCAAACCAUAGGGGCCAGAUGACAGAAAGCACAGAUGGUGGCCACGGUGCUGCUGAGGCGCCAGCUCCACACUGCAGCCAGGCAGUGGUGUGUCCGCAGCUGUACCCCAAGGAGGGGCAAAGGGAGCAUCCCAGACGCAGCCAACCAGGGGCCCAGGGGCGCUGCUGUCACUGUCGUUUCUUACAAGGUUGCUUGUCUCCCUUAGUUUCAGGAGGAACCUCCAAGCAUUCUGCCAAACUCAGUUCACACGGUGAUGGACCUUGCCACACAGCUAUGUGAAGAUGUCCAAGGUCCUCAGGGCCCAGAACAGAGCUGUUCCCUACUCCACUGACCUCCCUGUUUCUAAAACCAGUGGGCUUUUUUUUUCCUUUGAGACAAGGUCUCUCUCUGUUACCCAGGCUGGAGUGCAGUAGCACAAUCUCAGCUCACUGCAACCUUCACCUCCCCGGGCUCAAGCAAUCCUCCCACCUCAGCCUUAUGAGUAGUUGGGAUCACAGAUGCGUGCCACCACAUCGGGCUAAUUUUUUGUAUUUUUUUGGUAGAGACAGGGUCUUGCUCUGUUGCCCAGGCUGGUCUCAAACUCCUGACCUCAAGUAAUCCACCUGCUUUGGCCUCCCAAAGUGCUGGGAUUACAGGUGUGAGCCAUAGUGCCUGGCCACCAGUGGGCAUUUUUUAGUUUUCCUUUACUUGACCUCUCAGCAAUAUUUGACACCAUGAACUGUCUGUCCUUCUUGGAACACUUGAUUUCCUUAUCAUCAAUAAUACCACCCUUCCUUCAUUUUCUGCCAACCACUCUCAAUCUCCUUUGCUACUUUCUCCUCUACUCAGUGUCUGCCCUGCGCAUUCUCCUUACUUUAUUCUACAUUUUCCUCUAAGAGAGCUUACCUUGUCUCAUUUCUUCAACUGCUACUUACAUGUAAAUUACCCCACUUAAAAAAAUUCCAUCUCAGACCUUUCUUCUGUGUUCAAACCUUUAGAAAUACAUACUCAGCAUAUUUACCCAUUGGCUGGGCACGGUGGCUCGCGCCUAUAAUCCCAGCACUUUGGGAGGCCGAGGUGAGCGGAUCAACUGAGGUCAGGAGUUUGAGACUAGCCUGGCCAACGUGGUGAAACUCCAUCUCUACUAAAACUACAAAAAAUUAGCCGGGUGUGGUGGUGCACGCUUGUAAUCCCAGCUACUCGGGAGGCUGAGGCAGGAGAAUCGCUUGAACCUGGGAGGUGGAGGUUGCAGUGAGCCGAGAUCAUACCAUUGCACUCCAGCCUGGGCGACAGAGCGAGACUCCAUGAAGAACAACCACAACAACAACAACAAAAAUUUAAGCGGGCCUAACACCCACGGCAAGCAGUGCCGGAGAGGGCAAUCAGACUGGGGGCCGGGGCAGGCCCUUGUUCUCACUCCUCACAUUCAUGACAAAUAUACCUGUGUCUUGGGAAAUUCUGGGGAGGAAAAUUCAGACCCUUCCUUCCACCGUACCCUCUCAGGAGGAGUGGUGGGAAGAGAGUGACUUCAUUGGGAAUCCUUAACCUGGGGGACGGAUGGCAAUCCGUCUGUAUCUUCCUCCAGCUGCCUGAGGUACAUUCAGUACUUGCAUCACCAGUUUCCACGUACAAAAACACCAGAAUUCAGGCAGCCUGGCCAACAUAGUGAGAACCCAUUUCUAAAAAUAAAAUAAAUAAAAUAAUAAUAAAGCCGAUUAGGGACCAUGAUUUUGCAUCUGCAGCCACAAGCGCCUGCUAACUGUCAUGAGAAACUGACCCUCCCAGUCAUAUGUAGAGGCCUCUGCCAUGGCAAAGAGCAGACCCCAGUGCAUUCCGUCUGAUCCCAGGAAGAUUGGAAGGACAAAGAAGCUGGAGGGGCGGGAGCUACCUUGUUGCGGGAAGUCAGGGACCCCAAACGGAGGGACCGGCGGAAGCCAUGGCAGAAGAACGUGGAUUGUGAAGAUUUUAUGGACAUUUAUUAGUUCCCCAAAUUAAUACUUUUAUAAUUUCUUAUGCCUGUCUUUACUGCAAUCUCUAAACAUAAAUUGUAAACAUUUCAUGGACACUUAUCACUUCCCCAAUCAGUACCCUUGCGAUUUCCUAUGCCUGUCUUUACUUUAAUCUCUUAAUCCUGUCAGCUGAGGAAGAUGUAUGUCGCCUCAGGACCCUGUAAUAAUUGCAUUAACUGCACAAAUUGUAGAGCAUGUGUGUUUGAGCAAUAUGAAAUGUGGGCACCUUGAAAAAAGAACAGGAUAACAGCAAUUGUUCAGGGAAUAAGAGAUAACCUUAAGCUCUGACCUCCAGUGAGCCGGGCAGAACAGAGUCAUAUUUCUCUUCUUUCAAAAGCAAAUGGGAGAAAUAUCGCUGAAUUCUUUUUCUCAGCAUGGAACAUCCCUGAGAAAGAGAAUACGCACCUGGAGGUAUAGGCUUAUAAACAGUCCCCCCAGGUGCGCCUGUCUCUUAUGGUCGAAACUGCAGAGAUGAGAUAGACUCCAGUCUCCCAUAGCGCUCCCAGGCUUAUUAGGAAGAGGAAAUUCCCACCUAAUAAUUUUGGUGAGACUGGUUGCUCUCAAAACGCUGUCUCCUGAUAAGAUGUUAUCAAUGACAAUGGUGCCCGAAACUUCAUUAGCAAUUUUAAUUUCGCCUCGGUCCUGUGGUCCUGUGAUCUCGCCCUGCCUCCACUUGCCUUGUGAUAUUCUAUUACCCUGUUAAGUACUUGAUGUCUGUGACCCACACUUAUUCGCACACUCCCUCCCCUUUUGAAAAUCCCUAAUAAAAACUUGCUGGUUUUUGUGGCUUGUGGGGCAUCAGGGAACCUACCGACAUGUGAUGUCUCCUCUGGACGCCCAGCUUUAAAAUUUCUCUCUUUUUUACUCUGUCCCUUUAUUUCUCAAGCCAGCCGAUGCUUAGGAAAAAUAGAAAAGAACUUACGUGAAUAUCGGGGCAGAUUCCCCAAUACUACCUGUUACCGGUUCCUUCUCCACACGCAGGUACUUCACUCUUGCUGCUCUGCAGAGAAUGAGUUGGAGGAGCAGAAGCCAGAUGCUCCCCUAAAACAGCUUUCUGUGUUUCCCUGGUCCUGAGAGUGUUGUAGGAAAACAAUUCUGGCAGCAGCACGGAGAGCAGGCUGGGGCUCUCUGAGACUCUCCCCUGGCUGGAUGUGGAGAAGGAGGUCACCAAGGCUGUGGCCAUGCCAGGGCGGUCCCUUAUGCCUGGAGGAGGGUGAGCUGUGGGAUGGCAAAGAGUCUCCUCUCCAAUUCAGGCUUCUCUAAGCCCUCCUCCCAACUAGGCUCCAAUCUUGGUCUUUAAGAACUGCAGACUCUCAACAUAAAUGGUUUUGUCCACACAUCAGAUGCAGGCGAACCCCACCAUCAGGGCUCGGCCUGGGAGGGUUCUUGGCUUUGCACAGGAAGGAAUUCAAGAGUGAGUUGACAGAGUAAAGUGAAAGCAAAGCACAUUUAUCAGAGCAACAGAGUAUAGGAAAAUGCCUGCUCUGUAGACAGAGCAGGGCUACCCCACAGGCAGGGCAGCACUGGUGGACGGCUGGCUAGCAGUCUUCAUAGCUACUCCUGAGUUAUAUGUGAUAUGUUUUGGAUCUGUGUCCCCACCCAAAUCUCAUGCUGAAAUUUAAUCCCCAAUGCUGGCGGUGGGCCUGGUGGGAGGGGACUGGAUGACAAUGGUGGAUUUCCCCCUUAAUGCUCUUCUGAGAGUGAGUGAGUUCUUGAGAGCUGGUCAUUUAAAGGUGUGUGGCACCUCUACCCCCUCUCUUCUCUCUUCCUCCUGCUUCCACCGUGUAAAGUGCUGGCUCCCCCUUUGCCUUCUGCCAAGAAGCAGGUUCUGCCAUGCUUCCUGUACAGCCUGCAGAACCAUGGGCCAAUUAACCCUCUUUCUUUAUAAACUACCCAGUCUUGGAUAUUUCUUUAUAGCAGUGUGAGAAUGGACUAAUGCAAUAUGCUAAAGAAGGGGUGGGUUGGCCAGGUGCGGUGGCUCACACCUGUUAUCCCAGCACUUUGGGAGGCCGAGGCAGGAGGAUCACGAGGUCAGGAGAUCAAGACCAUCCUGGCCAACAUGGCAAAACCUGUCUCUACUAAAAAUACAGAAAUUAGCCGGGCAUAGUGACACGUGCCUGUAAUCCCAGCUACUCAGGAGGCUGAGGCAGGAGAAUCACUUGAACCUGGGAGGCGCAGGUGAACUGAGAUUGUGCCACUGCACUCCAGCUUGGGCGACAGAGUGAGACUCUGUUUCAAAAACAAAAAAGAAGGAGUGGGUUAUUCACAAGUUUUCUACAAAAGGAGUGGGCAGUUCCCUGAACGGAGGAACCCUCUCUUUUAAGCCGUAUAAGGGGAACCUGUGGUGCUGCUAUGGCAUCUGUAAACAGUCACACGCUGGCGGGCAUGUCUUAUGCUAAUGUAUUAAUUACAAUUUGCGUGUAAUGAGCAGUGAGGGCAACUAGGGCUGUUCCUAUCCCCAUCUUUGUCCUGGCUGGGUGUGGCCAGCUGCCGCACUGCAUCCUGCCUGGAUCAGCCAGGCCUCCAUUGUUGCUGGGAAAAGAAGUCCCAUGGGGGGCCCACUUCACAUCCUGCACUGAGACGCACACAAACCCUGGUGCGGCCUCCAGCCCUCAGGCUGACCCGGAGUGACCACUUCACAUCCCGCACUGAGACGCACACAAACCCUGGUACGGCCUCCAGCCCUCAGGCUGGCCCGGAGUGACCACUUCACAUCCCGCACUGAGACGCACACAAACCCUGGGGCGGCCUCCAGCCCUCAGGCUGGCCUGGAGUGACCACAGCCACUUUAGAAUGUGUGCCAGAGGCAGCUUAAUGUCACCAAAAGAACUUGUUCCAAGCAAGCCCGGGAGGACAGGGGAAGAGAAGAGACCUGGUCAGUGGAGGAGCCACAGGUAACAGCUGGACUCUCUUCGUCCGUCCGCCCCCCACAGUCCCCGCUGGACUCUCUUGGUCCGUCCGCCCCCCACAGUCCCCGCUGGACUCUCUUGGUCCGUCCCCCACAGUCCCCGCUGGACUCUCUUGGUCCAUCUGCCCCCCACAGUCCCCGCUGGACUCUCUUGGUCCGUCUGCCCCCCACAGUCCCCGCUGGACUCUCUUGGUCCGUCUGUCCCCUAGCCCCUACUGUUCUGGAUGUCUGCCCAUUGCCACAGCCCAGAAGCUGGGAAUCUCAGCUGUGCCCUCAAAGACUGGACGUCAGGUGAGCUGUCCAUCCUUCCAGUGAGUGCCUUCUACUCUGCCUGGAGCUUCUCUACCUAGCAAAUGCCUCUAGGGCUUAAAAGAGCCUCCUUGUCCAUUCAGCAAGUAUGUAUUGGGUACCACCUGUGCGCCAGGCUGUGUGCAGGAACUGGGGCUUUCUCCUCGUGGAGUGCACAGUCUGCUGGGCUGGAGACAUACGAAUACUAAACAAGACACAGCAGAAAAAGGGGAGCCGAGUGCCCCAGGAGCACACGACAUAAGCCAGCCUGAUCUGUGGGGUCAGGGAGGCCAUUCUGAGGCUGUAGCCAGGUAGAGAGUGGCUUAAGCCAUGGAACUGUGUGGCAGAGGCCCCAUGGCACAGGACAGUGUGGCAAGUCAGGAAAAGCCUGAGGCUAAGUUGGGGAGGAAGAGGUACAGGUGAGACUAGAGAUGGGGCCAAACUAGGGGGGACCCUGUUAGCCUGCACUUCAUUCCAGGAUCACAGGACACUGCUAAUGGGUUCUCACAGUGGCUGUGUUGUUUUUUUUACGUUCUCUGGCUGCUCUAUGGCGGUGUUGAUGCCCCUGAUGGGAAAUGUUAGGGACCUGUGUUAGCACGACUCCUGUGGGGGUAAGGAGGAGAAGGAACAGGAACCCCCAGUUUGGGUGGCAGAUGGGACGCAGACAGCGAGAGUGAGAAAAGUCAACAUUGGAGCCAGAGGUGACCCUGUGUGGGCUAGGCCCAGGUGGCCGUCAUGGCCACCACACCAGAAAAGAAGCAACAAGUGGGGAAAUGUUUGCAAAAUAGACACAGGCCUCACCCAAAUCAAUGAAAUAAGACAAAUAAAAAAUUUUCCGGACCGGGUGUGGUGGCCCACGCCUGUAAUCCCAGCACUUUGGGAGGCCGAAGCAGGCGGAUCACGAGGUCAAGAGUUCAAGGCCAGCCUGGCCAACAUGGUGAAACCCCGUCUCUGCUAAAAAUACAAAAAAAUUAGCUGGACGUGGUGGUGGGUGCGUGUAAUCCCAGCUACUCGGGAGGCUGAGGCAGGAGAAUUGCUUGAACCGGGACCUGGGAGGCAGAGCUUGCAGUGAGCCGAGAUCACACCACUGCACUCCAGCUACAGAGUGAGAGUCUGUCUAAAAAAAAAAAUUCCAAUAGAAAAAAAUGGGCAAAAACAGGGACAAAGUUGAAAAGCACAUGGCCAAGAAACACCCGACAGUAACAAAUGCACAGAUGUGGGGAACUGGUGCGAGUCUUCAGAGCUGGCGGAAAUGGGAAGCGGAGUAACUAUUUUGGCAGAAAAAUACGUAACUUCCCUGCGAACCGGAAUCCCACGUGUACACAUCCAGAGAGUUCCCUUUGUGGGUUCAUGAGGGGACGCACGCAAGGGAUGUCCCAGCAAUGAGAACAUGGAAUGACCUGAAUGAGAGCGGGGGAGGGGCCACCCGGGACAAAGCUGCAGGGACAAGGACCACUCAUCCUCUGUUGCAACUUGCAGGCUCAGGAAGAAGGGUCUCCCCCGUCUACUGGAGUUCUUGACACUGGAAUUUGGGGCUUGUCACAGGCCUAUUCAGAAAGGGGCCUGGUCCUGAGAAAUAAUAGGGUAUUGAAGGCUUGUGGCUAUAAUGCUGCCUGUAGUUCCAAAGCUGGAAGAGGCAGCCCACAAGCAGACAGGGCGCCGUUUCUCCUGUGUAGGUGGAGACUGGGCAUAGUGGCUCACAUCUGUAGUUCCAGCACUUUGGGAGGCCAAGGCAGGAGGAUCGCUUGAGCUGAGCCCAGGAGUUUGAGACCAGACUGGGCAACAUACUUUACUGGACAUUUUGGGGACAUUGGGAAAAUUUGAACAUGGGCUGGCUAUUAAAUGAGAUUACAGAAUUACUGUUAAUUUUCUUAGGUGUGGUUAUGUGCAGUGAUGGUCUCAUUCUUGAGAGGAGGGCUGCGACACUUGGGGAGAUGUGUUACCAGCUGCAAAUCACUUCCAAAUGGUUCAGCCAGAAAUACAACAUGUAGAGAGCAUUUCGGAGAACAGGACAACAGCGCGGCAGCUGCUGAAUUCAGGUGGAUAUGGAAGGCGUGGUUUUUUUUUUUUUUUUGAGAUGGAGUCUCGCUCUGUCACCCAGGCUGGAGUGCACUGGUACAAUCUCGGCUCACUGCAACCUCUGCCUCCCAGGUUUAAGCGAUUCUCCUGCCUCAGCCUCCCAAGCAGCUGGGAUUACAGGCGCUUGCCACCACGCCCAGCUGUUUUGUAUCUUUCAUAGAGACGGGGUUUCACCAUCUUGGCCAGGCUGGUCUUGAUCUCCUGACCUCGUGAUCCACCCUCCUUAGCCUCCGAAAGUGCUGGGAUUACAGGUGUGAGCCACCGCGCCCGGUCGGAAGUAGUUGUUAAUAUUCUCUAUGUUGGAAGUUUUUUGUAAUGGAAAGUUGGAAGCAAAACAAGAUAGGAAGCAAGG
This is a long non-coding RNA of Homo sapiens (human), 8376 nucleotides long. RefSeq lists it as uncharacterized. The record is from RefSeq and is a predicted model, not a curated record. Lineage: Eukaryota; Metazoa; Chordata; Mammalia; Primates; Hominidae. The transcript has 3 exons.